GAAGAUAUAAAGCCAAAGCCUCAUACGGACUUUAGCUACACCAUCAAAGCUUUUGAGAAGCAAGAAGAAGCUUAGUUAGUUUUUUGGAGUCAAAUAUUACUAGAUGUUAUGUGUAAGAGUGAGUAUGCAGCUAGUACAGCAACCGGAUCUUAAAAACCUAAGUAUUGAAUCUUUGUUAGAAGAUACAAAGACAAAGACUUAUAUAGACUUCGGCUACACCAUCAAAGCUUUGAGAAGCAAGAAGAAGCUUGGUUAUUGUUUUGGAGUCGAAUAUGACUUGAUGUCAUGUGUAUGAUUCAGUAAAAGAACUUAAACCGCAACCGGAUCUUAAAAGCCUAAGUAGUGUUUCCUUGUUAGAAGAUACAAAGCCAAAGACUCAUACGGACUUCAUUUACACCAUCAAAGCUUUGAGAAGCAAGAAGAGGCUUGGUUAAUGUUGUGGAGUCAAAUAUGACUAGAUGUCA
This 464-nucleotide small RNA is filed under the name Arabidopsis thaliana (thale cress). RNAcentral describes it as "ATSL271540". Lineage: Eukaryota; Viridiplantae; Streptophyta; Magnoliopsida; Brassicales; Brassicaceae. The record is from RNAcentral.